RNAcentral lists this ribosomal RNA (254 nucleotides) under uncultured bacterium. Its description in RNAcentral is "partial 16S ribosomal RNA". It matches the Rfam family "Bacterial small subunit ribosomal RNA", at positions 524 to 777 of the family's 1533-position model. The record is from RNAcentral.
UACAGAGGGGGCAAGCGUUGUUCGGAAUUACUGGGCGUAAAGGGCGCGUAGGCGGCCUUCUAAGUCAUGCGUGAAAUCCCCGGGCUCAACCCGGGAACUGCGUCUGAUACUGGAAGGCUUGAAUCCGGGAGAGGGAUGUGGAAUUCCAGGUGUAGCGGUGAAAUGCGUAGAUAUCAGGAGGAACACCGGUGGCGAAGGCGGGAUCCUGGGCCAGUACUGACGCUGAGGAGCGAAAGCGUGGGGAGCAAACAGGG